RNAcentral lists this ribosomal RNA (326 nucleotides) under uncultured eukaryote. RNAcentral's name for it is "partial 18S ribosomal RNA". It matches the Rfam family "Eukaryotic small subunit ribosomal RNA", at positions 1470 to 1796 of the family's 1831-position model. The record is from RNAcentral.
CCCCUAGAUGUUCUGGGCCGCACGCGCGCUACACUGAACAGUUCAACAAGUCUUAACCUUGGCCGAUAGGUCUGGGUAAUCUUUGAACGCUGUUCGUGAUUGGGAUAGACCUUUGCAAUUAUGGGUCUUCAACGAGGAAUUCCUAGUAAACGCAAGUCAUCAGCUUGCAUUGAUUACGUCCCUGCCCUUUGUACACACCGCCCGUCGCACCUACCGAUUGGAUGGUCCGGUGAAGCCUCGGGAUUAUGGUUCUUGCCGCUUUAUUGUGGCGUGACCGCGAGAACUUGUCUAAACCUUAUCAUCUAGAGGAAGGUGAANUCGUAACA